Triticum dicoccoides is the source of this 3627-nucleotide RNA transcript. RefSeq lists it as uncharacterized. The record is from RefSeq and is a predicted model, not a curated record. Lineage: Eukaryota; Viridiplantae; Streptophyta; Magnoliopsida; Poales; Poaceae. The transcript has 5 exons.
CACCGGCCCUCUUUCUCCCAAUCCCCGCAGCUGCCGCGCCCGGCACACCUCCCUCCUCCACUCCCCCUGCGCCCUACCCUUCCCCGCCGAGCUUGUUCCUCUAGCCACCCACUCGUCUCCUCCUCUUCCUCCUCUCUCUCUCUCUUCUAGCUUCCUCCUCCUUCCUGAUCUCUGCAUCGGCCGGACCGCGAGAGGAGCGGUGGUGGCGGAGACGCUCCGGUGGCGACAUCGAGUUGCGAACCCCAGGAACCAGGUCUGGGGGUUCGGUUCCAAGGCACGGACGGCUUCUCCGCCUAUGACGCCGAGGGGAAGUGCACACCCUAGUCCCCUCCUCCUGCGUGAACCCUAAGAGAGAGAGAGAGGAAGAUGAGAGGGAGGGAGAGAGAAUGACCGGCGUCGGCCUGCGCCGGCGAGGACGGGCGCGACCUGGAGGUUGGCCGCUGCUCGAUUUGCUCUUGGAUCGGGAGCUUCGACGAAGCUGGGAUUCGGGCGCGUUGCACCGGAGGCUGCACUCCACCUCUUCCUCGUGGUGCGGCGGACGGCAGCUCUUGCAGUCGUGCGGCUGACGGCGGCCUCAGCGGGUGGUCGACGACACUUGCAGCUGGUGCUCUACCCAUGGAUUCCGGCAUAGCCCGAAAUACUCAGAUAUUUGACUGCAUUACUGAAUGUUCUAGGGUUGGAGCAGCAGCUGAGCUUAGGGCAAGACAAGCACAUUAGUUUAAUCCUGAACUUACAGGAUGGUUUCCCCUGCCACAACCAUUGUCAUCGGCCUGCAUUCCCUCGUCAAGCGUGCAUCGGUGCUGGAUAUGCAAGCUGCAACAGCACAUCAACGGGAAGGCAAGAGCAAGACGAUGGUCAUGAUUUUUGCCAAGGAGUGGAAGACAAUGUUAACUAAAGCCACUUUUGUUGGUCAUGGAUUUACAAGAAAGCCAGUAGAGUAUGAAAAGGUUCUCAUGGGACUCACCCUAAACUGAAAUCUAUCUUCAACCUUGCUUAAACUGAAAGCAAUGCAUGGUAUUGUUCAAUUCGAAGUGUACUUGACGUGUGCAGAUCUGAGGAUGAAGGGAAGAAGACAGAAUUUAGCUAACGAGUUGAAUAAGAUCAAGGUUAUUAUUCCACAAUCAUUUGUUGCAUCCAUUAUGUGUUCACCCAAUCCAUCUCUCUCUCUCUGCUGGCUGCCGCCACACGUGGACGGUAGUGGUUCAUUUUCCUACAACUUUUGGCAUUUCUACAGUUUUAUCAUGUAUAGCUUGAUCCAGAAAAUGUAGAGAAGAAAUUUUUGCAAGAGAAAUAAAGUGCAUAGGUUACGCCUCUUAAUUUUUCUUCAACUGUUUUUGGUAAAAUUGCUUACCUAGGCAUCAGUAUAUUUUGUGACAGGAAUCUGCACUAUGUUCUUAUGCUUUUAGCAAUACCAAUCUUAUUUUGUUUCUUGGUGGAAUUGCUUACCUAGGCAUAAAAAUGCGAAAAAAAUCUGCACAAUGUUCUUAUGCUUUCAGUAAUGAGCGCCUUGUUUAGAUUCUCGGGGUUUUAGCCAUGCUGACUUCUGAAUAAUUAUUCAUUCAUGAUAUUCACUGUAGAAUUGCUUACCUAGGCAUAAAAAACGUAAAGAAGGUGAGAUUGGCUACAGUUUUGAUGUACUUUUGUAAUGUUUUCCUGUUUGUACAUACUUUAUUUGUUUGCUUGAAACUGCAUUUUAAUAUGUGCUUGUAGGCUCUACAGGAUCCAGUGAUGGAUCUGAGUGUGAGCACUCGAGUUAUAGGUUUCUUCUAGCAUGUUGACACACUAAUUAGAUUCAGGAAUUAUUUGGUACAUCUCAGCUUUGCGGCAUCAUGUGUAGAGGGUCAUGUUAAUAAAUAUAUCUGGCCUGCACUUAGAUGUUCUUUUCUUGUAAUUGAUAACUCAUACGAAUUCUGCAACAUAUUGUGCAUAGCGAUACACCUCUACUGAAAUACUACUUUCUUAUUCCCAUUUCCAUCCGACACCUGACUUUACAUCAUUUCUAAUCUCAUCUUUUCUCCUGAAUUUUAGUCUGCUUCAGUAAUGUUGGGGCCUGCCGCAAAACAACCACAUUUUUGCUGCUGUGAUUUGGUCCAUCCUAUGCAUUUCAGUUCCUGGUGAUCUCCAACGUUUGUCAGCUAAUGCCACCAUGAGGGUGCUGGGCUGCUAAUGGCAUGCUACCUGCUUUGAAAAAAAGGAAUGAAAGGAAGCAUUUGUUCAUAGAACAAAUAUAUUCAUUGUCUGUUAAGAUAAAUAUCCCUAUCCUCUGUUUGUUUCUUGAUUAUUCUCUGUGAACUUUUGUUCUAUGUGCAGACAAGUUUCCUCCAUGUCAUGUCAACAUCCCAUGGUGAUGUAUGUGAAAGAUUGAAAGUGCGGUACUACAUAAAGACGCGCCGCAAUUAUUGUUGCAUAAUCAAAACUUUUAUAACAUUAACUUCCAUUGUCUGUUAAUAAUUAAUUAUCUCGGGUAAAAUCUAUUUUUCUAUCUGAUUGAUGUGGUUAGUUUGAUUUAUAGUAGAAUAUCAACAUUCUCCUUUAUGAUGGCUGAUGGGCAGUGUGUUUCGUCCAAGUGAUAUGCUUCCUGUAUUGUUAGAGAUGUCUAUUUGGCUUAUGAUCGUACUGUUGAGCACAUCUUACCCUUGUGCUGAAGAUAAAUGGUACUAAUCAAUCUGCUAAAGCUUUGUGAUGUGAAAGUGCAUUUGGUAGGAAGGGUUCUGCAGAUAACCCCUUUAGAUUUUGUCCCUUCAAGAUUUUUUUUGGAUCAAGCCAUAAAUUUAAACAGGAAUCCUUCAGUGGCUAUUUUUUUUAUCCACACACUUUCUAAUGUCUGGUCCUCUUAACUUAGGAUAAGCUUUUUACUGUCUUUGUUUUUUGAUUAUCAUCAACAAUACUAGUUCUGUUGUCCCUUAGGCUGUCAAUGCUGAUGCUAUUUCAAUGCUGAGAAGCGAACUCAGAAAUCAGCUCGCUAACAAGAGUCGGAAUUCGAAUCUGAGGCAAGUUUCACAUUCCCCAAUUUGUCUAUUGAACCCAUGGUCUCUCUUUCUUCUGCAUUAUUUCUCAUUCAUUAUCUGAGAUAUGAUUUUGACUUCACUGCACCGUCUUGUCUGGUUUAUAAUGCCGGUUGAGCUCAUUUCUAAUUGUUCAUAACUAAAUUUUUUGUUGUGAUUUUGCAAGAUAUUGAAAUUAUUGUAUUUCGAAAUUGUUUUACUGAUUCUCGAUGCUCUGUUCAUGGCUUUUUUUCUUAUUUUAUCCUUCUUUGCUUUUUUCCUUUCCUGCAAGAAGAUGUCGAGUCAUGUAAUAUGUUCAAAGAAGAGAGAAUCUGGACUUUAUGAAUCCUUUCUUCUUUCUUCAUUGUUACUUCAAGUUAGUGAAUUCAUUUAAGUUGUAUUGAGCAGCUUCAUGUGCAUGGUUUCUUCAUCUACACAUCUUAUUCAGUCACGAGGCGAGUAAGAUCUUUUGCCUUUUAGAAAAAGGGAGAUGCCAUUUAGACCUUACUCUUCCAACUUGAUCUUUAACUUGCUACUACUGUUUCUAAGAUUUUUACCAAGCAUUUUUUAUUUGCUUCAUAGAAUGAGCUCACCUUAUUCAGUGGAUGUGCCAAGUAAAAAAAAUUAGAAACUGAGCAAUUAG